GACGAACGCUGGCGGCGUGCUUAACACAUGCAAGUCGAACGGAAAGGCCCUGCUUUUGUGGGGUGCUCGAGUGGCGAACGGGUGAGUAACACGUGAGUAACCUGCCCUUGACUUUGGGAUAACUUCAGGAAACUGGGGCUAAUACCGGAUAGGAGCUCCUGCUGCAUGGUGGGGGUUGGAAAGUUUCGGCGGUUGGGGAUGGACUCGCGGCUUAUCAGCUUGUUGGUGGGGUAGUGGCUUACCAAGGCUUUGACGGGUAGCCGGCCUGAGAGGGUGACCGGCCACAUUGGGACUGAGAUACGGCCCAGACUCCUACGGGAGGCAGCAGUGGGGAAUAUUGCACAAUGGGCGGAAGCCUGAUGCAGCAACGCCGCGUGCGGGAUGACGGCCUUCGGGUUGUAAACCGCUUUCGCCUGUGACGAAGCGUGAGUGACGGUAAUGGGUAAAGAAGCACCGGCUAACUACGUGCCAACAGCCGCGGUGAUACGUAAGGUGCGAGCGUUGUCCCGAUUUAUUGGGCGUAAAGGGCUCCUAAGUGGUUGAUCGCGUCGGAAGUGUAAUCUUGGGGCUUAACCCUGAGCGUGCUUUCGAUACGGGUUGACUUGAGGAAGGUAGGGGAGAAUGGAAUUCCUGGUGGAGCGGUGGAAUGCGCAGAUAUCAGGAGGAACACCAGUGGCGAAGGCGGUUCUCUGGGCCUUUCCUGACGCUGAGGAGCGAAAGCGUGGGGAGCGAACAGGCUUAGAUACCCUGGUAGUCCACGCUGUAAACGGUGGGUACUAGGUGUGGGGUCCAUUCCACGGGUUCCGUGCCGUAGCUAACGCUUUAAGUACCCCGCCUGGGGAGUACGGCCGCAAGGCUAAAACUCAAAGGAAUUGACGGGGCCCCGCACAAGCGGCGGAGCAUGCGGAUUAAUUCGAUGCAACGCGUAGAACCUUACCUGGGUUUGACAUGGAUCGGGAGCGCUCAGAGAUGGGUGUGCCUCUUUUGGGGUCGGUUCACAGGUGGUGCAUGGCUGUCGUCAGCUCGUGUCGUGAGAUGUUGGGUUAAGUCCCGCAACGAGCGCAACCCUUGUUCACUGUUGCCAGCACGUUAUGGUGGGGACUCAGUGGAGACCGCCGGGGUCAACUCGGAGGAAGGUGGGGAUGACGUCAAGUCAUCAUGCCCCUUAUGUCCAGGGCUUCACGCAUGCUACAAUGGCUGGUACAGAGAGUGGCGAGCCUGUGAGGGUGAGCGAAUCUCGGAAAGCCGGUCUCAGUUCGGAUUGGGGUCUGCAACUCGACCUCAUGAAGUCGGAGUCGCUAGUAAUCGCAGAUCAGCAACGCUGCGGUGAAUACGUUCCCGGG
This 1343-nucleotide ribosomal RNA is filed under the name uncultured bacterium. Its description in RNAcentral is "16S ribosomal RNA". It matches the Rfam family "Bacterial small subunit ribosomal RNA", at positions 28 to 1378 of the family's 1533-position model. The record is from RNAcentral.